UGGGGAGGGGGGGAGUUGAACCCCCAUUAAUAAGUUUACAGCCUACCGCCUUAUACUCGGCCACCUAACC
This 70-nucleotide transfer RNA is filed under the name Calumma brevicorne. Its description in RNAcentral is "tRNA-Tyr". RNAcentral also lists the same sequence under 1 other name. The record is from RNAcentral. Lineage: Eukaryota; Metazoa; Chordata; Lepidosauria; Squamata; Chamaeleonidae.